Molecule: ribosomal RNA, 504 nt
Filed under: uncultured bacterium
Lineage: Bacteria
Description: partial 16S ribosomal RNA
Rfam family: Bacterial small subunit ribosomal RNA
Source: RNAcentral
AGUGAACGCUGGCGGAGGCCUAACACAUGCAAGUCGAACGGCAGCACAGAAGAGCUUGCUCUCUGGGUGGCGAGUGGCGGACGGGUGAGGAAUACAUCGGAAUCUACUCUGUCGUGGGGGAUAACGUAGGGAAACUUACGCUAAUACCGCAUACGACCUACGGGUGAAAGCAGGGGAUCUUCGGACCUUGCGCGAUUGAAUGAGCCGAUGUCGGAUUAGCUAGUUGGCGGGGUAAAGGCCCACCAAGGCGACGAUCCGUAGCUGGUCUGAGAGGAUGAUCAGCCAAACUGGAACUAAGACACGGUCAGACUCCUACGGGAGGCAGCAGUGGGGAAUAUUGGACAAUGGGCGCAAGCCUGAUCCAGCCAUACCGCGUGGGUGAAGAAGGCCUUCGGGCUGUAAAGCCCUUUUGUUGGGAAAGAAAUCCAGCUGGCUAAUACCCGGUUGGGAUGACGGUACCCAAAGAAUAAGCACCGGCUAACUUCGUGCCAGCCGCCGCGGUAA